This 602-nucleotide ribosomal RNA is filed under the name Nostoc sp. 'Collema flaccidum cyanobiont'. RNAcentral describes it as "bacterial SSU rRNA". It matches the Rfam family "Bacterial small subunit ribosomal RNA", at positions 125 to 760 of the family's 1533-position model. Lineage: Bacteria; Bacillati; Cyanobacteriota; Cyanophyceae; Nostocales; Nostocaceae. The record is from RNAcentral.
UCUGGCUUUAGGUCUGGGACAACCACUGGAAACGGUGGCUAAUACCGGAUGUGCCGAAAGGUGAAAGAUUAAUUGCCUAAAGAUGAGCUCGCGUCUGAUUAGCUAGUUGGAAGUGUAAUGGACUCCCAAGGCGACGAUCAGUAGCUGGUCUGAGAGGACGAUCAGCCACACUGGGACUGAGACACGGCCCAGACUCCUACGGGAGGCAGCAGUGGGGAAUUUUCCGCAAUGGGCGAAAGCCUGACGGAGCAAUACCGCGUGAGGGAGGAAGGCUCUUGGGUCGUAAACCUCUUUUCUCAGGGAAGAACAAAAUGACGGUACCUGAGGAAUAAGCAUCGGCUAACUCCGUGCCAGCAGCCGCGGUAAUACGGAGGAUGCAAGCGUUAUCCGGAAUGAUUGGGCGUAAAGCGUCCGCAGGUGGCAAUGUAAGUCUGCUGUUAAAGAGUCUAGCUCAACUAGAUAAGAACAGUGGAAACUACAUAGCUAGAGUACGUUCGGGGCAGAGGGAAUUCCUGGUGUAGCGGUGAAAUGCGUAGAGAUCAGGAAGAACACCAGUGGCGAAGGCGCUCUGCUAGGCCGUAACUGACACUGAGGACGAAAGC